This 419-nucleotide ribosomal RNA is filed under the name uncultured Prevotella sp. Its description in RNAcentral is "bacterial SSU rRNA". It matches the Rfam family "Bacterial small subunit ribosomal RNA", at positions 358 to 774 of the family's 1533-position model. The record is from RNAcentral. Lineage: Bacteria; Pseudomonadati; Bacteroidota; Bacteroidia; Bacteroidales; Prevotellaceae.
GGAAUAUUGGUCAAUGGGCGAGAGCCUGAACCAGCCAAGUAGCGUGCAGGAUGACGGCCCUAUGGGUUGUAAACUGCUUUUAUGCGGGGAUAAAGUGCACCACGUGUGGUGUUUUGUAGGUACCGCAUGAAUAAGGACCGGCUAAUGCCGUGCCAGCAGCCGCGGUAAUACGGAAGGUCCGGGCGUUAUCCGGAUUUAUUGGGUUUAAAGGGAGCGCAGGCGGGUUGUUAAGCGUGACGUGAAAUGUAGGGGCUCAACCUUUGAAUUGCGUCGCGAACUGGCGACCUUGAGUGGGUACGACGCGGACGGAAUUCGUGGUGUAGCGGUGAAAUGCUUAGAUAUCACGAAGAACUCCGAUUGCGAAGGCAGCCAACAAGGCCUUUACUGACGCUAAAGCUCGAAGGUGCGGGUAUCGAACA